Molecule: small nuclear RNA, 317 nt
Filed under: Octodon degus (degu)
Lineage: Eukaryota; Metazoa; Chordata; Mammalia; Rodentia; Octodontidae
Description: 7SK RNA (ENSODEG00000024562.1)
Rfam family: 7SK RNA
About the family: 7SK was discovered as an abundant small nuclear RNA in the mid-70s but a possible function has only recently been suggested. Two independent studies have found that 7SK RNA binds the CDK9/cyclin T complex (known as elongation factor P-TEFb).
Source: Rfam by way of RNAcentral
GGGUGUGAGGGUGCUCCAGUGACAACACCUUACCCCCUGAUGGCCAGGGCCAACUGCUGAUCCACUGGCUAGGAGGAUGUCCCCGUCCUCCCUCCUGCUGUGUGUGCCCCUCCAGAAGCUCACAAGAUAGGUAGAUGAGGACGACCCCCUCCAACAGCAGAGGGCUGUUUUCUCAGUGCAGUAGAAGAGCAGCUGCGCUCCCCUGCAAGAACCUCUGAGCAAGUGCUCAAGGAAUAGUGAAGUGAGAAGGAAGAAAGGAACCUGAGACUCGAAUCUGUUUACAGGAAAUAUACCACAACUUUGUUCAAUAGUUUUUU